AAGGAUUUAAGUUAAGUAAACUAUUAACCUUCAAAGUUAAAAAUAGGAAAUCCAUUCUAAGCCUUA
RNAcentral lists this transfer RNA (66 nucleotides) under Philus pallescens. RNAcentral describes it as "tRNA-Trp". It matches the Rfam family "tRNA". From Rfam's summary of the family: Transfer RNA (tRNA) molecules are approximately 80 nucleotides in length. Their secondary structure includes four short double-helical elements and three loops (D, anti-codon, and T loops). Further hydrogen bonds mediate the characteristic L-shaped molecular structure. tRNAs have two regions of fundamental functional importance: the anti-codon, which is responsible for specific mRNA codon recognition, and the 3' end, to which the tRNAs corresponding amino acid is attached (by aminoacyl-tRNA synthetases). tRNAs cope with the degeneracy of the genetic code in two manners: having more than one tRNA (with a specific anti-codon) for a particular amino acid; and 'wobble' base-pairing, i.e. permitting non-standard base-pairing at the 3rd anti-codon position. The record is from RNAcentral. Lineage: Eukaryota; Metazoa; Arthropoda; Insecta; Coleoptera; Vesperidae.